Salvia miltiorrhiza (redroot sage) is the source of this 1899-nucleotide long non-coding RNA. RefSeq lists it as uncharacterized. The transcript is spliced from 2 exons. NCBI's taxonomy places the organism in Eukaryota, Viridiplantae, Streptophyta, Magnoliopsida, Lamiales, Lamiaceae. The record is from RefSeq and is a predicted model, not a curated record.
UGGAAGCAGCUGCCGCAUGCAAAAACACAUUACUGUAUACUAGCUGGGGUUGUUUAUUUGCAAGUAGAGAAGAGAAUAGAAAUGAUUGUAAAGUGGAUAAUAACCAUUUAUUUUAUGUGCGUAUAGAUGAUAAGGAUCAUAUACUAUUUUAAAAAAAUAUCAUUAUAAAUUGGAUAAUCUAAAAAAAUAUGUGCCGAGAUAAAUGGGGAGGGAGGAGUACUAUUUUAAAUUAGUAAAAUGGUGGUGAGACAACUCAAAAAGUAGUGUUAAAUGCUAAAUUUUAUUUUCUAAAUUUAGAUUGGUUCGUUUGAAAUGGAACAACUCAAAAUAAAAAUUGAGUUAUUUGAAGUGAGAUAGAAAGAGUAUUUUUUUUUUUUUUUGGUGUGAAAUAGAGGGAGUACUAAUUAUUUUGAUUAUUGAAUUGCAAAUCAAAAAAAUAAGGUUACAAAAUAGUGGUAGCUGUAGUUCCAUUAUAGCUAGCUCGUACAUACUAAAUCAUUGAGGGGCGCCGACAAUUUGGUCGACGAAUAUCUUGAGAUUGAGUUGAGACGUUCCACCCUCGGCCAUGGCUUCCCUCGCCAAAUCCCUCCAAUUCUUGGCCUGCUUCCUUAUCUCCACGCUCGCAUCUCCGCCGUCCAUCACCAUCUCCAAGCACCUCUGGAUUUCAUCCGCCUCCACAAUCUCUCCGUUUCCCGCCUUCACUGCUCUGACUCCACUUCUCCAUACAUCCUCCACCAGCUUGGCGUUGGUGCACUGAUCGGUCCACUGCGGCAGCGCCACCACCGGCACCCCACACGCCAGGCUCUCGAGAGUCGAGUUCCAUCCACAGUGCGUCACGAAACACCCCACGCUUGGGUGGGAGAGAACCUCAACCUGAGUGCACCACGCCACGAUUUUCCCUUUCUUCUCAAGAUCCUCUCUGCAGCUCAGAGUUCGGUCGGAGCCUCGGAUCACCCACAGGAAGGGGCGGCCGCUUCUCAUCAGCGCCUCCGCGAUGGCCUCCACCUGCAACCUCGGCAGCUCAGAAAAGCUCCCGAAAGCCACGUAGAUUACCGAUCCCGUCUCUGCACACUCCAAAUACUGCAUGUAAUCUUCCGAUUUUUGAAUCAAAUCACCUCCAAAACUAGUGUCGGAUGGAUCCCUGCCGUCCAAAAACGCAGAAGGAAUCAGUGGCCCGAUCGCCAGCAAUCUAUACUUGUUCAAACAUCUCAAAGCAUCCGCCUCCAACUCGUCGAACGUGUUCAACACCACCGCCGGGUGAUCCUCUUGGUCCAGUAUCUCAAAAUUCUCAGUCAGCAUCGGAAUCACGAAAUUAUACACGCUCGGAUUCGUCUCCAGAAAGAAAGACGGCAGAUCGCGGCGGCGGAGGCGCGGCAGCCCCGGUAGCUCGAUCACCUCAUCGGAACAAGGAUCGAAAUUCCUAUUAUGAUAAUGAAAAUAGAUGCCGAAGAGAACGGCUGGUUGGAUCCAGAGCAGCGUGACGGGGACAGCGAGGCGGCGAGCCGCGCGGCCGGCCCAGGGCACGAGGAGAUUGUAAACGAUCCGCGAGUAAGGGGUGCCCUGGGCGCGCUUGGCGGCGACGGCGUCUUCCACGGCCUUGGUGCCGUGGUCGGAGAGCUCUUGCAUGAGUUUGGAGACGUCUCCUGUGGACCAGUCGGUGGUGGUGGAGAAGGAAACGACGUCGAUUAGGGGUUGGAAGGAUGGAGAGAGAGUGUGGGACAUGCGGGCGGUGGCGGAGCUGCUGGUGAGGAUGGUGACCUUAACGCCGUGUUUAGUGAGGCUUUUAGCGAACUGGAGAGAUGGGUUGAUGUGGCCCUGACCGGGGAAGGUGACUAGUAGGAUGUGCUGCUCCGCCAUUGCUUUUCUGUGUGAUGCUCAGUUUGUGGUCAGUGGUCUCAC